CCUACGGGUGGCAGCAGUCGAGAAUCAUUCACAAUGGGGGAAACCCUGAUGGUGCGACGCCGCGUGGGGGAAUGAAGGUCUUCGGUUUUUAAACCCCUGUCAUGUGGAUGCACAUUAAAAAGAUAGCCCCACAAGAAGCAGCGACGGCUAACUCUGUGCCAGCCGCCGCGGUACUACAGAGGUAGCAAGCGUUGUUCGGAAGCACUGGGCGUAAAGCGUGCGUAGGUGGUUUAGUUAGUCGUGUGUGAAAGGCGCGGGCUCAACCCGCGGACGGCAGAUGAUACUGCUAGACUAGAGUAAUGGAGGGGGAACUGGAAUUCUCGGUGUAGCAGUGGAAUGCGUAGAUAUCGAGAGGAACACUCGUGGCGAAGGCGGGUUCCUGGACAUUAACUGACGCUGAGGCACGAAGGCCAGGGGAGCGAAAGGGAUUAGAUACCCGGGUAGUC
This 446-nucleotide ribosomal RNA is filed under the name uncultured bacterium. Its description in RNAcentral is "partial 16S ribosomal RNA". It matches the Rfam family "Bacterial small subunit ribosomal RNA", at positions 338 to 795 of the family's 1533-position model. The record is from RNAcentral.